Lonchura striata (white-rumped munia) is the source of this 215-nucleotide non-coding RNA. The record is from RefSeq and is a predicted model, not a curated record. NCBI's taxonomy places the organism in Eukaryota, Metazoa, Chordata, Aves, Passeriformes, Estrildidae.
CAGCGGUACCGCCCGGGAGGCCCCUCAGCCCCGCAGCGGCUCUCUCUGCUCUCUUACCUUGCAGCAUUUCCUGAUACCAUCAGAGACCACAGGUGGAGCAUUGAAAUAAAGCAAGAAAGAGCUUUCUCCUGAUGAAUUGUCCAGACAGACAUGACUGAAGAGAUGAGCAGCUACCCAUAUCCUAGGCAUAGUCUUUUUUCAGAGACACGGCAAAC